UUAUAAACUAUAUAAAGAUCCUAAAACAUGCUUUAUACCAACGUGCUCCAAGACUGAUCUGAAAAACCCGGAUUUGAAGUUUUUUACUGUAAGAAAAGAGCUGAAACAACGUUGGUGUCAAUUGGUUGGCAGGAACUGUCCAAACCGAGCACUGUUUUGCUGUGCGGACCACUUAAAUUUUGAAGAAGAUUUGGAAAAUUAUGGACAAUGGAUCUCUGGUGCAAAGCCAAGACUGAAAAUAAAUGCCAUACUUAAGAAUUUUUCAAAAAAACCAUUAAGUGCAAUCAAUAAGAAUAUUGAAGAUCUUAAUCGGCCAUCAACUUCAAGUGCUGCUGACAAUGCUGGCAUGCAGAUGCAGCUAUACAGUGUGAUAAAAGAAUAGGUGUUUCAAACAAGUUUGUUUUGGCCCAGCCGAAGACUCAAACCAUAGCUACUCAAUUCCGUGGGCGAAAAAUAAAAGAAAGUGUGAUGCCAUCACGAAUGAUGCAAC
Long non-coding RNA from Cydia pomonella (codling moth), 490 nucleotides. RefSeq lists it as uncharacterized. The transcript is spliced from 3 exons. The record is from RefSeq and is a predicted model, not a curated record. Lineage: Eukaryota; Metazoa; Arthropoda; Insecta; Lepidoptera; Tortricidae.